Molecule: unclassified non-coding RNA, 251 nt
Filed under: Hevea brasiliensis (rubber tree)
Lineage: Eukaryota; Viridiplantae; Streptophyta; Magnoliopsida; Malpighiales; Euphorbiaceae
Source: RNAcentral
GAGAGAGAGAGAGAGAGAGAGAGAAAUGGCGAGCGAGGAAGAGAGCGCAGUGAAAGAGCCAUUGGAUCUCAUUAGACUCAGUCUUGAUGAGCGCAUCUACGUCAAGCUCCGCUCCGAACGUGAGCUCCGUGGCAAACUCCACGCUUAUGAUCAGCAUCUAAAUAUGAUUCUUGGGGAUGUUGAAGAAAUUGUUACUUCACUAGAAAUUGAUGACGAAACUUAUGAAGAGAUUGUUCGCACUACAAGGCGCG